CCCGCUGAACUUAAGCAUAUCACUAAGCGGAGGAAAAGAAAUUAACUAAGAUUGCCUCAGUAACGGCGAGUGAAGCGGCAAGAGCCCAAAAUGUAAAUCUUCACGCUGCGCGUGACGAAUUGUAAUCUAAAGAUGGUUCGCUCAACGGGUGGUGGCGCAGAAGUGCCUUAGAACGGGCCGCCAGAGAGGGUGACAGCCCCGUAUGUGGUGCCACUACCUAACGAGCGGGUUAUCAAAGAGUCGGGUUGUUUUGUAUUGCAGCCCUAAGUGGGAGAUAAACUUCUUCUAAGGCUAAAUAUCUAUGGGAAACCGAUAGCGAACAAGUACUGUGAAGGAAAGAUGAAGAGAACUUUGAAAAGAGAGUCAAAAGACUUGAAAUCGUUGAGAAGGAAGCGGUAGGAAUUUAUUCUUCGGCGGAGGUCGGUGGCAGUUGCCUAACCAUUUCAGGGUGUAAGUACAGCAAUGGCUUUGCUCUGAACUUGGGGAAGCGGCUGCUUUGUCCUUCGUCGUGAGGCAAGAUGGGGUCGUGUUCCCACAGAGGCUUCUCCAACUUGGCUUGAUUCGUUAGGCAGUUGGGGUGUGCUGGUGGGCGUGCGGCCUGAGGGUGCUUCGUGCGAUCUUGCCAAAAUGGUUCUUACCGGCCCGUCUUGAAACACGG
This 658-nucleotide ribosomal RNA is filed under the name uncultured fungus. RNAcentral describes it as "eukaryotic LSU rRNA". It matches the Rfam family "Eukaryotic large subunit ribosomal RNA", at positions 24 to 664 of the family's 3401-position model. The record is from RNAcentral. Lineage: Eukaryota; Fungi.